Orcinus orca (killer whale) is the source of this 1140-nucleotide long non-coding RNA. RefSeq lists it as uncharacterized. Lineage: Eukaryota; Metazoa; Chordata; Mammalia; Artiodactyla; Delphinidae. The transcript is spliced from 2 exons. The record is from RefSeq and is a predicted model, not a curated record.
UUUCCGAAGGACGCGUGGAGUUGAUUCUUCACGCUUGCGCCUCGUUCGGAAGUUUUUGGUUGGCCCGGGGGUGCCGGUACACUCGAGUAGGAACCGGAGGCACUCUCUCUCGAGGUUGCGCGGGCGGGGGUGUACGCGGACCCCCCCAGCCCCCCGUUCACCGGCACCGUGGUGGUCCCACACUGAGUGAUGGGCGUUCGGUUCUCUCUCGUUGCAGAGGAGGCAGAGCGGAAGGAAAGGAGGAAGAGGGAAACCGGGGACGUCGGUCAUCUCCAGGCGCUGGUGUUCUGGUACGUGGACCUCUUACUGUUGUGGCCUCUCCCGUUGUGGAGCACAGGCUCCGGACGCGCAGGCUCAGCGGCCAUGGCUCACGGGCCUAGCCACUCCGCGGCACGAACCCAUGUCCCCUGCAUCGGCAGGAAGACCCCGAACCACUGCGCCACCAGGGAAGCCCCUAACAACAUCUUUUGAAAGUGUACUUGUUUAAACUUCUUUUAGCUCUAAAUAGUUCUGUGAAUGGUGAAUAGUAAAGUUUUCCACUUAUUGUUCCAUGACAGACAUUGCAGAUAUCAUUUGCCCAAUGCAAGGAAGGAAAAAUAAUUACCUUUCUACCCUUCCCAAGUUCUUAUCUGGGGCCACUAUAACAAAAGAGAGAUUAACAAGAGAAAAACAAGUUUACUAACAUGUGUAUCACUUGUGACACAUGGAAGUCCCCAGAGUUGAAUAAAAGGUUUGGUUAGAACUUGAGUUUACAUAGUAUUUUAGCAAAAGAACAAUACAUGUUUAGAGAAGUGAUAAUGAAAAAGAACCUUGAAAUUUCUAGAGCGCCAAUUGUAACAAGGGAAAUAUAUGGGAAACUAAUGUAGAUAAGGGCUAGUUGGUAAAGUUUUUUAUGUAGAUUCCUCUGGUGCUGUUUCCAAAUUGAGAAGGUCUAAUGUUUUUUCCAGGGAUUAACUUUUCUCCUUCCUGGUUGAAAAGGGAGGAGGGACACCUUUGAAAAUUUAUGUCCUGCUUUUAGGCAAAUAAGGGGAGGGCAGGAAGUUUUUCUUGUAUCUACUUCUUUGUAUUUGCGCUUCACCUUAAAAUAAUCCUUAUGCCAAAGUGGCACAUUUAUACAAAUUAAAUAAGUGUAAAAUCUGC